AUUGAACGCUGGCGGCAUGCCUUACACAUGCAAGUCGAACGGUAACAGGUCUUCGGAUGCUGACGAGUGGCGAACGGGUGAGUAAUACAUCGGUACGUGCCUAGUAGUGGGGGAUAACUACUCGAAAGAGUGGCUAAUACCGCAUGAGAUCUACGGAUGAAAGCAGGGGAUCGCAAGACCUUGUGCUACUAGAGCGGCCGAUGGCAGAUUAGGUAGUUGGUGGGAUAAAAGCUUACCAAGCCGACGAUCUGUAGCUGGUCUGAGAGGACGAUCAGCCACACUGGGACUGAGACACGGCCUAGACUCCUACGGGAGGCAGCAGUGGGGAAUUUUGGACAAUGGGCGCAAGCCUGAUCCAGCAAUGCCGCGUGCAGGAUGAAGGCCUUCGGGUUGUAAACUGCUUUUGUACGGAACGAAAAGCCCCGGGUUAAUACCCUGGGGUCAUGACGGUACCGUAAGAAUAAGCACCGGCUAACUACGUGCCAGCCGCCGCGGUAA
Molecule: ribosomal RNA, 498 nt
Filed under: uncultured bacterium
Lineage: Bacteria
Description: partial 16S ribosomal RNA
Rfam family: Bacterial small subunit ribosomal RNA
Source: RNAcentral